Molecule: ribosomal RNA, 431 nt
Filed under: uncultured bacterium
Lineage: Bacteria
Description: bacterial SSU rRNA
Rfam family: Bacterial small subunit ribosomal RNA
Source: RNAcentral
CGCGAAGAACCUUACCUGGUCUUGACAUCCACAGAACUUUCCAGAGAUGGAUUGGUGCCUUCGGGAACUGUGAGACAGGUGCUGCAUGGCUGUCGUCAGCCCGUGUUGUGAAAUGUUGGGUUAAGUCCCGCAACGAGCGCAACCCUUAUCCUUUGUUGCCAGCGGUCCGGCCGGGAACUCAAAGGAGACUGCCAGUGAUAAACUGGAGGAAGGUGGGGAUGACGUCAGGUCAUCAUGGCCCUUACGACCAGGGCUACACACGUGCUACAAUGGCGCAUACAAAGAGAAGCGACCUCGCGAGAGCAAGCGGACCUCAUAAAGUGCGUCGUAGUCCGGAUUGGAGUCUGCAACUCGACUCCAUGAAGUCGGAAUCGCUAGUAAUCGUGGAUCAGAAUGCCACGGUGAAUACGUUCCCGGGUCUUGUACACACC